AUUGAACGCUGGCGGCAUGCUUUACACAUGCAAGUACGAACGGGCAGCACGGGUGCUUGCACCUGGUGGCGAGUGGCGAACGGGUGAGUAAUACAUCGGAACGUACCUUAUCGUGGGGGAUAACGCAGCGAAAGUUGCGCUAAUACCGCAUACGCCCUGAGGGGGAAAGCGGGGGACCGUAAGGCCUCGCGCGAUUAGAGCGGCCGAUGUCUGAUUAGCUUGUUGGUGAGGUAAAAGCUCACCAAGGCGAUGAUCAGUAGCUGGUCUGAGAGGACGAUCAGCCACACUGGGACUGAGACACGGCCCAGACUCCUACGGGAGGCAGCAGUGGGGAAUUUUGGACAAUGGGGGCAACCCUGAUCCAGCAAUGCCGCGUGAGUGAAGAAGGCCUUCGGGUUGUAAAGCUCUUUUGUCAGGGAAGAAACAGCAGCUCUAACACAGACUGCGAAUGACGGUACCUGAAGAAUAAGCACCGGCUAACUACGUGCCAGCAGCCGCGGUAAUACGUAGGGUGCGAGCGUUAAUCGGAAUUACUGGGCGUAAAGCGUGCGCAGGCGGUUAUACAAGACAGGCGUGAAAUCCCCGGGCUUAACCUGGGAAUGGCGUCUGUGACUGUAUAGCUAGAGUGUGUCAGAGGGGGGUGGAAUUCCACGUGUAGCAGUGAAAUGCGUAGAUAUGUGGAGGAACACCAAUGGCGAAGGCAGCC
RNAcentral lists this ribosomal RNA (706 nucleotides) under Pseudomonadota bacterium. RNAcentral describes it as "bacterial SSU rRNA". It matches the Rfam family "Bacterial small subunit ribosomal RNA", at positions 28 to 726 of the family's 1533-position model. The record is from RNAcentral. Lineage: Bacteria; Pseudomonadati; Pseudomonadota.